This 461-nucleotide ribosomal RNA is filed under the name uncultured Ignavibacteriaceae bacterium. RNAcentral describes it as "bacterial SSU rRNA". It matches the Rfam family "Bacterial small subunit ribosomal RNA", at positions 338 to 796 of the family's 1533-position model. The record is from RNAcentral. Lineage: Bacteria; Pseudomonadati; Ignavibacteriota; Ignavibacteria; Ignavibacteriales; Ignavibacteriaceae.
CCUACGGGAGGCAGCAGUGAGGAAUAUUGGGCAAUGCCCGAAAGGGUGACCCAGCAACGCCGCGUGGAGGAUGAAUGCCGUAAGGUUGUAAACUCCUGUUAGAGGGGAAGAAAAAUCUCGAUCAAAUCGAGAACUGACUGUACCCUCAGAGAAAGCCCCGGCUAACUACGUGCCAGCAGCCGCGGUAAUACGUAGGGGGCAAGCGUUGUCCGGAUUCACUGGGUGUAAAGGGCGCGCAGGCGGGUUAGCAAGUCAGAGGUGAAAUCCUACAGCUUAACUGUAGAACUGCCUUUGAGACUGCUAAUCUUGAGUACGGAAGAGAGAGAUGGAAUUCCAGGUGUAGUGGUGAAAUACGUAGAUAUCUGGAAGAACACCAGUGGCGAAGGCGGUCUCUUGGUCCUAUACUGACGCUAAGGCGCGAAAGCGUGGGGAGCAAACAGGAUUAGAUACCCUGGUAGUCC